AUUAUAGUUACGAAUAUAUAUAAAAAGAAUGGCGAAAGUGAAAAUUUUAUAGGUAUUCAGAGUAUUUGAUUUCUUGUUUAUAUCUUUCAAAUAAGUUUUGUAAAGACUACAAUAAAUAAUAAUAAACAUAUACUAUAUUCGAUUGAGACAGAUAGAGACAGCUGCUGUACAGAAACUACUGUAUCGACAGAGGCCUUAAUAUGAUCAAUAUUGAAGAAUUAAUACACCAAAGAUACUGAUAAUAUAAAUACAUUCAAAUUUCAAUAAAUUUCUAAAACAGACCAGUAACUGCAAAUGGAUUAUAAAGGGAGAAUUAACGUUUCUCGUACUGGAAUUGCCAAAUCGAGAGGAUCCGGCGAAGGAACAGGACUUACGGGAUUGCUGCUUGGAGGAGUUAAAAUCGGUUCUCUUUCAAUCCUGAUGCCAUACUCCCUCUGUCUUUCUUCUUCGACUGCUUCUAGUGCAGCCUCUACUCUUCUACGAGCGUCGUUCCCUGGUAAAUUGAGAAGAGACGAGCAGUCACUAACAAAUUCGUUGUUUUGAAUUCCAAGACCAGUGUAUGUUGGAGAAACCUCAGGAUACAGAAACAAGUGAGAUUGUUCAACAGGGACUACAGACGUCGUUUGAAAAGCUCUGUCUUCACUAGGCAUCAGAAGCGGUUGUGAAUACUGCUCUCUGGAAUACAUGUAAUAAGGAAAAUCUCGUGGAGUGUCGUCAUAAGCAGCAGCAUCAUCAAUUGGCUCUUCAGUCUUGCGGUUCUCCUUGUCACUAGCAGUGCCAACACUAUUUGCCUGCGAGAUCUCAAUCUCUGGCUCGAUUGGUGAGUCCCGAGGAGAACCAGUGACCGAUGAGUCUGAAUGAGUUUUAAUGUGUAACUCCAUGGUCUUCUUUGAACCAAACGUCUCAUGACAUAGUGUGCACUUAUAAACUUUUUCACCAUAGUGGGCAACCUAAUACAUUUAUAAUAGUUUAUUAUAUGAGUUUAAGACUCUAAUGGAACAUUAAAAUUACAAAACAAUUACAAAAGCAUUAUAAUUUACAUUUUAUAACAUAAUAUUAAUUUGAAUUAAAAUUUGAAAGGCAUUAAUUAAAUUUUAACCAUUAAAUUUUAAACAUUAUUAUCAGGAAUAUGUAAAAUUUGGAAGGCAUUAAUUAAAUUUUACAUAUACCUGAUAAUAAUGUUUAAGAAAUUAUGUAUACGCCAUUUAUUAAGAAAUUAUUAUUAUGCAUUAUGUACUAUGUAUUAAGAAAUAUGAUAUGAUAUAAGAGAUAUAUAUUAAGAAAUUAUGUAUAUAGGUAUAUAUAAUUAUA
Molecule: unclassified non-coding RNA, 1311 nt
Filed under: Bombus terrestris (buff-tailed bumblebee)
Lineage: Eukaryota; Metazoa; Arthropoda; Insecta; Hymenoptera; Apidae
Description: misc RNA ENSBTSG00005023322.1
Source: RNAcentral